UACGUAGGGGGCAAGCGUUAUCCGGAAUUACUGGGUGUAAAGGGAGCGUAGACGGUAAUGUAAGUCUGGAGUGAAAGGCGGGGGCCCAACCCCCGGACUGCUCUGGAAACUAUGUUACUAGAGUGCAGGAGAGGUAGGCGGAAUUCCUAGUGUAGCGGUGAAAUGCGUAGAUAUUAGGAGGAACACCAGUGGCGAAGGCGGCUUACUGGACUGUAACUGACGUUGAGGCUCGAAAGCGUGGGGAGCAAACAGG
This 253-nucleotide ribosomal RNA is filed under the name uncultured bacterium. RNAcentral describes it as "partial 16S ribosomal RNA". It matches the Rfam family "Bacterial small subunit ribosomal RNA", at positions 524 to 776 of the family's 1533-position model. The record is from RNAcentral.